CAGACGAGGAGCUUGCUCCUCUGACGUUAGCGGCGGACGGGUGAGUAACACGUGGAUAACCUACCUAUAAGACUGGGAUAACUUCGGGAAACCGGAGCUAAUACCGGAUAAUAUAUUGAACCGCAUGGUUCAAUAGUGAAAGACGGUUUUGCUGUCACUUAUAGAUGGAUCCGCGCCGCAUUAGCUAGUUGGUAAGGUAACGGCUUACCAAGGCAACGAUGCGUAGCCGACCUGAGAGGGUGAUCGGCCACACUGGAACUGAGACACGGUCCAGACUCCUACGGGAGGCAGCAGUAGGGAAUCUUCCGCAAUGGGCGAAAGCCUGACGGAGCAACGCCGCGUGAGUGAUGAAGGUCUUCGGAUCGUAAAACUCUGUUAUUAGGGAAGAACAAAUGUGUAAGUAACUAUGCACGUCUUGACGGUACCUAAUCAGAAAGCCACGGCUAACUACGUGCCAGCAGCCGCGGUAAUACGUAGGUGGCAAGCGUUAUCCGGAAUUAUUGGGCGUAAAGCGCGCGUAGGCGGUUUUUUAAGUCUGAUGUGAAAGCCCACGGCUCAACCGUGGAGGGUCAUUGGAAACUGGAAAACUUGAGUGCAGAAGAGGAAAGUGGAAUUCCAUGUGUAGCGGUGAAAUGCGCAGAGAUAUGGAGGAACACCAGUGGCGAAGGCGACUUUCUGGUCUGUAACUGACGCUGAUGUGCGAAAGCGUGGGGGAUCAAACAGGAUUAGA
Molecule: ribosomal RNA, 730 nt
Filed under: Staphylococcus sp. GN0406-11.4-cm.b
Lineage: Bacteria; Bacillati; Bacillota; Bacilli; Caryophanales; Staphylococcaceae
Description: bacterial SSU rRNA
Rfam family: Bacterial small subunit ribosomal RNA
Source: RNAcentral